RNAcentral lists this long non-coding RNA (538 nucleotides) under Mytilus galloprovincialis (Mediterranean mussel). The record is from RNAcentral. Lineage: Eukaryota; Metazoa; Mollusca; Bivalvia; Mytilida; Mytilidae.
GAUAACUAUAUUUGAUAUGUACGUACCUUGCAAGGUCCUCGUGUCUGUCAGACAGUUUUCACUUGACCUCAACCUCAUUUCAUGGAUCAGUGAACAAGGUUAAGUUUUGGUGGUCAAGUCCAUAUCUGAGAUACUAUAAGCAAUAGGGCUAGUAUAUUCGGUGUAUGGAAGGACUGUAAGGUGUACAUGUCCAACUGGCAGGUGUCAUCUGACCUUGACCUCAUUUUCAUGGUUCAGUGGUUACAGUUAAAUUUUUGUGUUUUGGUCUGUUUUUCUUAUACCAUAUGCAAUAGGUCUACUAUAUUUGUUGUAUGGAAUGAUUGUUAAGUGUACAUGUCUAGCGGGCAGAUGUCAUGUGACCUUGACCUCAUUUUCAUGGUUCAGUGGUCAAAGUUAAGUUUUUGAGUUUUGGUCUUUUUAUCUAAUGCUAUAUGCCAUAGGUCAACUAUAUUUGGUGUAUGGAAAUAUUUUAUGAUCUUUAUGUCAGUUGAGCAGGUUUUAUUUAACUGUGACCUCAUUUUCACGGUUUAUUGCACAG